GUGUCUGACAGUGCAUGUGUUGGAGUGCGCAUGCGCGGCUGACAGUGCAUCUGGCUGCAGAUAGACCCUUCUCGGUUUGGCGGCACACAGACGGAGGCGCGCAAUUGGAGACUGACAUAAUAAAAAUUGCUGCUCAAACUGUGAUUUUAGGCAAAUUGUCUGCUUAUUAAUGUACCAAGUUAAAGCAAACUUUAUAGUUUUGUAUAUAUCUGCAAAUAAAAAUAGUGUUAGUGAGAACGGAACUAAAUUGGCUUUGGCCAAUAAGCAGAGGAGCGCCACUUCAGGUGACGCGCUUGAUACGUCGUCAUGGAAACCAAAACAACAGGUACGUCACAGCUUCAGUCAGAUCGUCAGCUUUAGGAUUGUUUCUGCACAAGUUUGACGAUGUCUUCGUACAAAGCACCUAAGAGAAGUCUCACACGAAGGUUUUGUGGAGCACACGGUGUUGUUGUGACAGCCGCCAUGUGUUCGGAGUCCGUGUGUGUGUGCCCCGCCCUCCUCGUUGUCCUCCCAUCACCUCACAGCUAAUCCUUCCACACCGGUUUCCUAUCUUGCUGUCUUGUGGAUUACUUGUGGAUUGUGUCUCGCUUGCCGAGUACUGACUACCCGGAGUCUCGCACCCCUUUUUCCCACGGCUGCCUCUGUCUCCCCGUGGGCCGUUUCCCUCCGGCUCUUACUAUCUGCCCAGUGCCCCUCUGCCGUCCCUCUCACCUCUCCCCGGCUGAAUGCUCGAGCCUGUUGAACCUUUUCCGCUUUGCCUGGUAUUUCUGUCUUUGCCUGGUGUUUCUUUGAUCUGUACUGAGCUGUUAAUAAAUACCUUUCAUUUUGAACUCUGCAUCUGACUCCUGAGUUUCUACCCUAACAGUCUGAUGAGACUGACUGAACCGACUCUUUUUACAAACAUGCCAGUGACAUGUGAGGACAGAGAUCUUUCAGGUUUUUAAAGAAGGAAGCGACAAAAUUGCCUUUGGAGACAACAAAAUCUCAUUGGCGGUACAGUAUGCAUUUAAAUGAUUGACUUUGUCAAAACUCUGUGUCACUAAACUUCCUCUAGCAUCAAGAUUUUUUUCUCAACUGAUGUUAAACUCUUGUCAUUGUAUUUUGUUUUUACUCAACAUCUGCCUUGUCACUGGGUUUUUACACAUUUUGUCACGACCCAGGUUGGGUUGGGGCAUUUGUCUGCACGUGGGUGUAUUGUCUUUGUCAGUGUCUGCGUCAUUAUCCCCGCCCCCGUGUUUCCUUAGGUUUCCCCAACACGGGUGAUUUUCUACUCCAUGCUCACACACCUGUUUAUUCCUCAUUAAGCUUAUUACCCAUUGCACCUGCUAGCCAUCUCCUCUUGUUAUGUUUUCCUAUUUAAUGCCUCAGUGUCUCUUGUCCGUUGUCUGAUUGUUGCAUUCUGCCAGUUCAGACUGAUCUAGGUGUUGCUGCGACUCAUCUAUAGAAGUCUUUUGUAAAUCUGUCUAGCCUUUACGUUCCUUUCACAGUUUCCUAGAGUUCUCUCCACCCUUCCGCAUCUCGCUGACCGAGGACGGCCGUCUGGUGGCAUCUUCCUGUUGUGUUUUACCUCUUCUGGCAUUGUCCUCCAGCUCCCGUUGGCGCCCCAUAGGACUACUGCCCGGCUUCCAACCGAUCACCCCACCCGAGUUAAAGGUGUCUCUCCCACCAUAGCUGCUGGGAUCUGGUGCUCUAUAUUCUGGCCGCCGUGGACGGGGGCAUUCACCAGCUGGACAAUUGCUGCAUUAUUGACUUACACUGCAAA
Triplophysa dalaica is the source of this 1762-nucleotide long non-coding RNA. RefSeq lists it as uncharacterized. The record is from RefSeq and is a predicted model, not a curated record. Lineage: Eukaryota; Metazoa; Chordata; Actinopteri; Cypriniformes; Nemacheilidae. The transcript is spliced from 4 exons.